Molecule: long non-coding RNA, 91 nt
Organism: Melanotaenia boesemani (Boeseman's rainbowfish)
Lineage: Eukaryota; Metazoa; Chordata; Actinopteri; Atheriniformes; Melanotaeniidae
Exons: 3
Source: RefSeq, a predicted model, not a curated record
CAUCAUUGCUGAUUUUGACUUCACGGACACCGCUUCUCCUGACAUUUCUGUUCUGGGGAAGGGAGUCCCUGAAGUUAAAAUCAGGAAUGAU